UGAGGAAUAUUGGUCAAUGGGCGGGAGCCUGAACCAGCCAAGCCGCGUGAGGGAAGAAGGCCCUAUGGGUCGUAAACCUCUUUUGUCAGGGAACAAAAGCGAGUAUGUAUACUGGUCUGAGUGUACCUGAAGAAAAAGCAUCGGCUAACUCCGUGCCAGCAGCCGCGGUAAUACGGAGGAUGCGAGCGUUAUCCGGAUUUAUCGGGUUUAAAGGGUGCGUAGGCGGCGGUGCAAGUCAGCGGUAAAAGCCCGGGGGCUCAACCCCGGCGAGCCGUUGAAACUGCAGUGCUAGAGAAGGCGAGAGGUACGCGGAGUGCGCAGUGUAGCGGUGAAAUGCUUAGAUAUUGCGCAGAACUCCGAUUGCGAAGGCAGCGUACUGGCGCCUGACUGACGCUGAGGCACGAAAGCGUGGGGAUCGAACAGGAUUAGAUACC
RNAcentral lists this ribosomal RNA (434 nucleotides) under uncultured bacterium. RNAcentral describes it as "bacterial SSU rRNA". It matches the Rfam family "Bacterial small subunit ribosomal RNA", at positions 355 to 786 of the family's 1533-position model. The record is from RNAcentral.